AGCGAACGCUGGCGGCAUGCCUAACACAUGCAAGUCGCACGGGGGGGCUUCGGCCUCCCAGUGGCGGACGGGCGAGGAACGCGUAGGGACCUGUCGAGGGGUGGGGGAUAACCGCGGGAAACUGCGGCUAAUACCGCAUGACGCCGCGGCGUGACAGCCGGGGCCAAAGGCGAAAGCCGCCCGCCGAGGGGCCUGCGUCCGAUUAGCUGGUUGGCGGGGUAGCGGCCCACCAAGGCGUCGAUCGGUAGCUGGUCUGAGAGGGUGAUCAGCCACACCGGGACUGAGACACGGCCCGGACUCCUACGGGAGGCAGCAGUGGGGAAUAUUGGACAAUGGGCGCAAGCCUGAUCCAGCAAUGCCGCGUGGGUGAAGAAGGUCUUCGGAUUGUAAAGCCCUUUCGGCGGGGACGAUGGUGACGGUACCCGCAGAAGAAGCCCCGGCUAACUUCGUG
This 451-nucleotide ribosomal RNA is filed under the name uncultured bacterium. RNAcentral describes it as "partial 16S ribosomal RNA". It matches the Rfam family "Bacterial small subunit ribosomal RNA", at positions 28 to 507 of the family's 1533-position model. The record is from RNAcentral.